This 339-nucleotide unclassified non-coding RNA is filed under the name soil metagenome. RNAcentral's name for it is "partial contains 5.8S ribosomal RNA, internal transcribed spacer 2, and large subunit ribosomal RNA". The stretch from base 1 to 120 matches the Rfam family "5.8S ribosomal RNA", at positions 35 to 154 of the family's 154-position model. The record is from RNAcentral.
GAUGAAGAACGCAGCGAAAUGCGAUACGUAGUGUGAAUUGCAGAAUUCAGUGAAUCAUCGAAUCUUUGAACGCACAUUGCACCUCUCGGUAUUCCGGGAGGUAUGCCUGUUCGAGCGUCAUUUGUACCCUCAAGCUCUGCUUGGUGUUGGGUGUUUGUUCCGCCUCUGUGUGUGAACUCGCCUCAAAACAAUUGGCAGCCGGCGCACUUGUUUCGGAGCGCAGCACAUUUUGCGAUCCAGUUCAACGUACAGCGGCAUCCAAGAAGCCUUAUUUAACGCUCUUGACCUCGGAUCAGGUAGGGAUACCCGCUGAACUUAAGCAUAUCAAUAAGCGGAGGA